AGUGAACGCUGGCGGUAGGCCUAACACAUGCAAGUCGAACGGCAGCACAGGAGAGCUUGCUCUCUGGGUGGCGAGUGGCGGACGGGUGAGGAAUACAUCGGAAUCUACUUUUUCGUGGGGGAUAACGUAGGGAAACUUACGCUAAUACCGCAUACGACCUACGGGUGAAAGCAGGGGAUCUUCGGACCUUGCGCGAUUGAAUGAGCCGAUGUCGGAUUAGCUAGUUGGCGGGGUAAAGGCCCACCAAGGCGACGAUCCGUAGCUGGUCUGAGAGGAUGAUCAGCCACACUGGAACUGAGACGCGGUCCAGACUCCUACGGGAGGCAGCAGUGGGGAAUAUUGGACAAGGGGCGCAAGCCUGAUCCAGCCAUACCGCGAGGGUGAAGAAGGCCUUCGGGUUGUAAAGCCCUUUUGUUGGGAAAGAAAUCCAGCUGGUUAAUACCCGGUUGGGAUGACGGUACCCAAAGAAUAAGCACCGGCUAACUUCGUGCCAGCAGCCGCGGUAA
This 506-nucleotide ribosomal RNA is filed under the name uncultured bacterium. Its description in RNAcentral is "partial 16S ribosomal RNA". It matches the Rfam family "Bacterial small subunit ribosomal RNA", at positions 29 to 523 of the family's 1533-position model. The record is from RNAcentral.